Molecule: long non-coding RNA, 634 nt
Organism: Symphalangus syndactylus (siamang)
Lineage: Eukaryota; Metazoa; Chordata; Mammalia; Primates; Hylobatidae
Source: RefSeq, a predicted model, not a curated record
CCUGCUUUUGCUGGGUGGAGGAAAGGAGCCCUAGAGAACAGCCACAGGGGCAGCACUGAGCUCACAACUGGUCAGGAGCACCAGAAGGACAAGGGACUCCUUUAACGAACUCUAAUAGCCUAAGGGAGUUGUUAAGCAUUUAUCAGCACAGCCCUGGGGACAUGCUGCAUCAAUGGUGCUGAAGCAAAAACCUGGCAGAAACUGGGAGCUGGCCUGGGAAACUGUCUUACCUGCCUUGCAGAGAAGUUCUUUUAUACUUCAAGAGAUUGCAAAAGAGUGCAUAGAUGGAGUUUCGCUCUUGUUGCCCAGGCUGGAGUGCAAUGGCACGAUCUCGACUCACUGCAACCUCCACCUCCUGCGUUCAAGCGAUUCUCUUGCCUCAGCCUCCCAAGUAGCUGGGAUUACAGGCGUGUGCCACCAUGCUCGGCUAAUUUUGUAUUUUCAGUAGAGAUGGGGUUUCACCAUGUUGGCCAGGCUGGUCUCAAACUCCUGACCUCAGGUGAUCCACCUGCCUCAGCUUCACAAAGUGCUGGGAUUACAGGCGUGAGCCACCAUGCCUGGCUGAGAAAUAAUGAUAAAAUGCAGUGGAUCUGAGAGACAAUCUUAGGAAAUACUGCAGGGAACUAAAGCUCUU